CCCCAACCAGACUACUUUCUUCAUAGUGCACAAUUGAAAUUGGAGUACACUCGGGUUUCCUUACUUUGAAAAAGCUCAGAAGGAGCAUUUACAUCUCCUAGUGAAAGACUGCAGAAUGGAGCUGAAAUUAAGUUAUUAGAGUUCACGAUUUGUCUUGGCCCAGAGCCUAAUCCAGUUUAUAAUCCAAGAUCUAUGUUGGAGUCUCUGCAUCAGGACAUGAGCCAUAGACCCAAGAGAUUUUCACACAAGUGAUCACACCCUUGACAAGCUGGCUGAAGUUCAAUCCUAAAAGGCCAAACAGUUUGUCUGCAAUAGACAGAGAAGAUAAGACUUCCUGACAGAAGUCUCUUCAUUUAAUUGUGUAAUCCUCCACACUGAUCAAGGAAGAAAACUUAGGGUCAUUGCUCAGUGAAUUGCCUUACAAUGCACGACAAUUACAUUGGAAGCAAAACAAAGGUACCAGCUUAUAAAGAGAAAAAGAAAAAAGAAAAAAGAAAAAAAAAA
RNAcentral lists this long non-coding RNA (504 nucleotides) under Gallus gallus (chicken). The record is from RNAcentral. Lineage: Eukaryota; Metazoa; Chordata; Aves; Galliformes; Phasianidae.